RNAcentral lists this ribosomal RNA (440 nucleotides) under uncultured bacterium. Its description in RNAcentral is "partial 16S ribosomal RNA". It matches the Rfam family "Bacterial small subunit ribosomal RNA", at positions 338 to 795 of the family's 1533-position model. The record is from RNAcentral.
CCUACGGGAGGCUGCAGUAGGGAAUAUUGCUCAAUGGGGGAAACCCUGAAGCAGCAACGCCGCGUGGAGGAUGAAGGUUUUCGGAUUGUAAACUCCUUUUGUUAGAGAAGAUAAUGACGGUAUCUAACGAAUAAGCACCGGCUAACUCCGUGCCAGCAGCCGCGGGAAUACGGAGGGUGCAAGCGUUACUCGGAAUCACUGGGCGUAAAGAGCGCGUAGGCGGGAUAGCAAGUCAGAUGUGAAAUCCUAUGGCUUAACCAUAGAACUGCAUUUGAAACUGUUAUUCUAGAGUAUGGGAGAGGUAGGUGGAAUUCUUGGUGUAGGGGUAAAAUCCGUAGAGAUCGAGAGGAAUACUCAUUGCGAAGGCGACCUGCUAGAACAUAACUGACGCUGAUGCGCGAAAGCGUGGGGAGCAAACAGGAUUAGAUACCCGAGUAGUC